UGAAAAAAGGUGGCAUGAGGGCUGCCCCAAACCGGUUUCGGUUUAUAGGAUUGUAAGGUCCCGCGUAACCGUCUCCAGUUAUUGAAAAGAAGCCAGGCAACGUUCUGGGGAUCCAACCCAUGGCCUGAACCUGCUAGGCAAGUGCUCUACCACUCAGAAACAUUCUUAACUCCUGGGCUCAAGGAAUCCUCCUGCUUCAGUCCCCUGCCCCAGGUAACUGGGAAUAUUGACCUGCUCCACUGCACCCUUCUCUAACACUCAUUAACUUCAGUUUUCUUUUUUCUGGAUAAGACCAGACCAAAGUCAGCUAGUUUGCAUAAAA
This is a long non-coding RNA of Sciurus carolinensis (gray squirrel), 322 nucleotides long. RefSeq lists it as uncharacterized. The record is from RefSeq and is a predicted model, not a curated record. The transcript has 3 exons. NCBI's taxonomy places the organism in Eukaryota, Metazoa, Chordata, Mammalia, Rodentia, Sciuridae.